RNAcentral lists this long non-coding RNA (855 nucleotides) under Prunus persica (peach). RNAcentral's name for it is "long non-coding RNA (PPER_LNC000691)". Lineage: Eukaryota; Viridiplantae; Streptophyta; Magnoliopsida; Rosales; Rosaceae. The record is from RNAcentral.
UUUGUAUAAGAUCUUGAGUCUUGACAUUGUAUUUUUAAGUUUUAAGCAUCGUUAGGUUUUACAAACCCAAAUCUCUUAUUGUUGGAAAGUUUAUUCCUUUCUGCUAGCUGCUCUACCUAGGGCAACCAAAAGAGACUCAUUGGAUUUUUCUUUUUAUUUUAUGUUUUUGUGUGGGCAAACCCAAAUCUCUUAUUGUGGUUCUUCGGGUGCCAAUUGAUAUUUUUUCCUUUUCUUUUUUAUCAAGGUUUUUUUUUUCUUCUUUUAAAUUGUUAAAUUAUAAGCGUGGGAGCAUGUAGGAGUAUUUAAAGUUUCUAGCCGAAAAUCUUGCUUUAAAGUUUUUACAUUUUUUGAAAACUUUGUUAUUUUCCUAUUUUAAUUUCUUGUUUAUUCUUAGGGUUUCUAGGAGUAUUUAAAUAGAUUUAACCCGUGGCUAGAGUUAUGUUUUGUUAUUCCAAUUUAUCAAAUAAGGUUUCCUCAUAUUUUUUGGGUAGAUUCCAGAGUUAUAUAUUCUAAACUAAAAUUUUAAUCAAUCUUUUGUCACGUUGCGUCAUCUAGAGGUUUAUAAUGCUACAAGCCCAUCGGGUUAUUACAAUCGGCCCAAUAUAAUCUUUAUUGCAUCGAAAAUAUUAUUUGUUAGAAAGGUUUUGUGGGUUUAGAUUGACCUUUCCUUUUUCAACUUGGAAGUUAGCUUUUCUGAUUGGUCAGCAACAUCUUAAAAUAGGUAAGGUGUAUAUUUCUUCCAUCAAAUUAUUUGGUUGGCUUAGAUUUCACGAAAUACGGUUAGAUGUAUGAAUUCUAAAUGCAGAGGCUCGGGAUCCAAUAUAUAUAUAAAUGUUAGGGUUUUUUAUUUUUCUC